GAUGAAGAACGUAGCGAAAUGCGAUAAGUAAUGUGAAUUGCAGAAUUCAGUGAAUCAUCGAAUCUUUGAACGCACAUUGCGCCCGCCAGUAUUCUGGCGGGCAUGCCUGUUCGAGCGUCAUUACAACCCUCAGGCCCCCGGGCCUGGCGUUGGGGAUCGGCGGAAGCCCCCUGCGGGCACAACGCCGUCCCCCAAAUACAGUGGCGGUCCCGCCGCAGCUUCCAUUGCGUAGUAGCUAACACCUCGCAACUGGAGAGCGGCGCGGCCACGCCGUAAAACACCCAACUUCUGAAUGUUGACCUCGAAUCAGGUAGGAAUACCCGCUGAACUUAAGCAUAUUCAAUAAGCGGAGGA
RNAcentral lists this unclassified non-coding RNA (354 nucleotides) under soil metagenome. RNAcentral describes it as "partial contains 5.8S ribosomal RNA, internal transcribed spacer 2, and large subunit ribosomal RNA". The stretch from base 1 to 120 matches the Rfam family "5.8S ribosomal RNA", at positions 35 to 154 of the family's 154-position model. The record is from RNAcentral.